GACGAACGCUGGCGGCGUGCCUAAUACAUGCAAGUCGAACGAACCGCGACUGAGUGCUUGCAUUUGGUCAAGGUGAGUGGCGAACGGGUGAGUAACACGUGGGUAACCUACCUCAUAGUGGGGGAUAACAGUCGGAAACGACUGCUAAUACCGCAUAGGACAUAGGAUCACAUGAUCCAGUGAGGAAAGGUGGCGCAAGCUAUCGCUAAGAGAUGGACCCGCGGUGCAUUAGCUAGUUGGUAGGGUAAAGGCCUACCAAGGCGAUGAUGCAUAGCCGACCUGAGAGGGUGAUCGGCCACAUUGGGACUGAGACACGGCCCAAACUCCUACGGGAGGCAGCAGUAGGGAAUCUUCCGCAAUGGACGCAAGUCUGACGGAGCAACGCCGCGUGAGUGAAGAAGGUCUUCGGAUCGUAAAGCUCUGUUGUUAGAGAAGAACAGCUCAUAGAGUAACUGCUAUGCGUGUGACGGUAUCUAACCAGAAAGCCACGGCUAACUACGUG
RNAcentral lists this ribosomal RNA (502 nucleotides) under uncultured bacterium. Its description in RNAcentral is "partial 16S ribosomal RNA". It matches the Rfam family "Bacterial small subunit ribosomal RNA", at positions 28 to 507 of the family's 1533-position model. The record is from RNAcentral.